UUUUAACCCUGAUGGAAGUAGUAUCUUUUGUUUUUGUCGCAUUGAGCUUGUCGAAAUGUCAAAAACAAAAAUUUAACGGACAGCAGGAAACAGC
This 94-nucleotide small RNA is filed under the name Flavobacterium haoranii. RNAcentral describes it as "Flavobacterium sp. LQY-7 Flavo-1 RNA". It matches the Rfam family "Flavo-1 RNA". Lineage: Bacteria; Pseudomonadati; Bacteroidota; Flavobacteriia; Flavobacteriales; Flavobacteriaceae. The record is from Rfam by way of RNAcentral.